RNAcentral lists this ribosomal RNA (300 nucleotides) under uncultured bacterium. RNAcentral describes it as "bacterial SSU rRNA". The stretch from base 53 to 300 matches the Rfam family "Bacterial small subunit ribosomal RNA", at positions 548 to 795 of the family's 1533-position model. The record is from RNAcentral.
GCGGACUUCAGAAGCGGCGGGGGGGUAAGAGGAAUGGUGGAAGUGUUAUCCUGAAUGGAUGGGGGUAAAGGGUUGUGGGAGGGGAUGUUAAGGUUGUUGUUAAAGGGUCAGGCCUAACUGGGGUAUUGCGAUGAAGACUGGCGUGCUAGAGGGUGAGAGAGAGAAGUGGAAUUCCCGGAGUAGCGGUAAAAUGCGUGGAUCGCGGGAGGAACACCAAUGGCGAAGGCAGCUUCUUGGCUCAUUCCUGACGUUGAGGCACGAAAGCGUGGGGAGCAAACAGGAUUAGAUACCCCUGUAGUC